GAUGAACGCUGGCGGCGUGCCUAAUACAUGCAAGUCGAGCGAACGGACGAGAAGCUUGCUUCUCUGAUGUUAGCGGCGGACGGGUGAGUAACACGUGGAUAACCUCCCUAUAAGACUGGGAUAACUUCGGGAAACCGGAGCUAAUACCGGAUAAUAUUUUGAACCGCAUGGUUCAAACGUGAAAGACGGUCUUUCUGUCACUUAUAGAUGGAUCCGCGCUGCAUUAGCUAGUUGGGAAGGUAACGGCUUACCAAGGCAACGAUGCAUAGCCGACCUGAGAGGGUGAUCGGCCACACUGGAACUGAGACACGGUCCAGACUCCUACGGGAGGCAGCAGUAGGGAAUCUUCCGCAAUGGGCGAAAGCCUGACGGAGCAACGCCGCGUGAGUGAUGAAGGUCUUCGGAUCGUAAAACUCUGUUAUUAGGGAAGAACAUAUGUGUAAGUAACUGUGCACAUCUUGACGGUAACUAAUCAGAAAGCCACGGCUAACUACGUG
RNAcentral lists this ribosomal RNA (497 nucleotides) under uncultured bacterium. Its description in RNAcentral is "partial 16S ribosomal RNA". It matches the Rfam family "Bacterial small subunit ribosomal RNA", at positions 28 to 507 of the family's 1533-position model. The record is from RNAcentral.